This 71-nucleotide transfer RNA is filed under the name Hoplisoma sterbai. Its description in RNAcentral is "Corydoras sterbai tRNA-Asp". It matches the Rfam family "tRNA". From Rfam's summary of the family: Transfer RNA (tRNA) molecules are approximately 80 nucleotides in length. Their secondary structure includes four short double-helical elements and three loops (D, anti-codon, and T loops). RNAcentral also lists the same sequence under 2 other names. Lineage: Eukaryota; Metazoa; Chordata; Actinopteri; Siluriformes; Callichthyidae. The record is from RNAcentral.
GAGACGCUAGUAAAAUUAAUUACACUGCCUUGUCAAGGCAGAAUUGUGGGUUGAAUCCCCGCGCAUCUUAU